This 1367-nucleotide ribosomal RNA is filed under the name uncultured bacterium. RNAcentral's name for it is "16S ribosomal RNA". It matches the Rfam family "Bacterial small subunit ribosomal RNA". The record is from RNAcentral.
UUAGAGUUUGAUCCUGGCUCAAGACGAACGCUGGCGGCGCGCCUAACACAUGCAAGUCGAACGAGCGAGAGAGAGCUUGCUUUCUCGAGCGAGUGGCGAACGGGUGAGUAACGCGUGAGGAACCUGCCUCAAAGAGGGGGACAACAGUUGGAAACGACUGCUAAUACCGCAUAAGCCCACGGGGUCGGCAUCGACCAGAGGGAAAAGGAGCAAUCCGCUUUGAGAUGGCCUCGCGUCCGAUUAGCUAGUUGGUGAGGUAACGGCCCACCAAGGCGACGAUCGGUAGCCGGACUGAGAGGUUGAACGGCCACAUUGGGACUGAGACACGGCCCAGACUCCUACGGGAGGCAGCAGUGGGGAAUAUUGCACAAUGGGGGAAACCCUGAUGCAGCGACGCCGCGUGGAGGAAGAAGGUCUUCGGAUUGUAAACUCCUGUUGUUGGGGAAGAUAAUGACGGUACCCAACAAGGAAGUGACGGCUAACUACGUGCCAGCAGCCGCGGUAAAACGUAGGUCACAAGCGUUGUCCGGAAUUACUGGGUGUAAAGGGAGCGCAGGCGGGAAGACAAGUUGGAAGUGAAAUCUAUGGGCUCAACCCAUAAACUGCUUUCAAAACUGUUUUUCUUGAGUAGUGCAGAGGUAGGCGGAAUUCCCGGUGUAGCGGUGGAAUGCGUAGAUAUCGGGAGGAACACCAGUGGCGAAGGCGGCCUACUGGGCACCAACUGACGCUGAGGCUCGAAAGUGUGGGUAGCAAACAGGAUUAGAUACCCCGGUAGUCCACACCGUAAACGAUGAUUACUAGGUGUUGGAGGAUUGACCCCUUCAGUGCCGCAGUUAACACAAUAAGUAAUCCACCUGGGGAGUACGACCGCAAGGUUGAAACUCAAAGGAAUUGACGGGGGCCCGCACAAGCAGUGGAGUAUGUGGUUUAAUUCGACGCAACGCGAAGAACCUUACCAAGUCUUGACAUCCCUUGACAGGCAUAGAAAUAUGUAUUCUCUUCGGAACACCGGUGACAGGUGGUGCAUGGUUGUCGUCAGUUCGUGUCGUGAGAUGUUGGGUUAAGUCCCGCAACGAGCGCAACCCUUAUCCCCAGUAGCCAGCAUUUUGGAUGGGCACUCUGAGGAGACUGCCAGGGAUAACCUGGAGGAAGGUGGGGAUGACGUCAAAUCAUCAUGCCCCUUAUGACUUGGGCUACACACGUGCUACAAUGGCGUAAACAAAGGGAAGCGAGACCGUGAGGUGGAGCAAAUCCCAAAAAUAACGUCUCAGUUCGGACUGUAGUCUGCAACCCGACUACACGAAGCUGGAAUCGCUAGUAAUCGCAGAUCAGAAUGCUGCGGUGAAUACGUUCCCGGGUCUUGCACA